AGCGAACGCUGGCGGCAGGCCUAACACAUGCAAGUCGAACGCCCCUUCGGGGGCGUGGCGGACGGGUGAGUAACGCGUGGGAAUGUGCCCUUUGGUACGGAACAACUGAGGGAAACUUCAGCUAAUACCGUAUGUGCCCUACGGGGGAAAGAUUUAUCGCCAUUGGAGCAGCCCGCGUUGGAUUAGGUAGUUGGUGGGGUAAUGGCCCACCAAGCCGACGAUCCAUAGCUGGUCUGAGAGGAUGAUCAGCCACACUGGGACUGAGACACGGCCCAGACUCCUACGGGAGGCAGCAGUGGGGAAUCUUGCGCAAUGGGCGAAAGCCUGACGCAGCCAUGCCGCGUGAAUGAUGAAGGUCUUAGGAUUGUAAAAUUCUUUCACCGGGGAAGAUAAUGACGGUACCCGGAGAAGAAGCCCCGGCUAACUUCGUG
RNAcentral lists this ribosomal RNA (431 nucleotides) under uncultured bacterium. RNAcentral describes it as "partial 16S ribosomal RNA". It matches the Rfam family "Bacterial small subunit ribosomal RNA", at positions 29 to 507 of the family's 1533-position model. The record is from RNAcentral.